CAGUCGCCGCGGGAAUACGAAGGGGGCUAGCGUUGCUCGGAAUGACUGGGCGUAAAGGGCGCGUAGGCGGCUGACACAGUCAGAUGUGAAAUUCCUGGGCUCAACCUGGGGACUGCAUUUGAGACGUGUUGGCUUGAGUGGAGAAGAGGGUCGUGGAAUUUCCAGUGUAGAGGUGAAAUUCGUAGAUAUUGGAAAGAACACCGGUGGCGAAGGCGGCGACCUGGUCUUUAACUGACGCUGAGGCGCGAAAGCGUGGGGAGCAGACAGGAUUAGAUACCCGGGUAGUCCCUGUCUCUUAUAC
This 301-nucleotide ribosomal RNA is filed under the name uncultured bacterium. RNAcentral describes it as "partial 16S ribosomal RNA". It matches the Rfam family "Bacterial small subunit ribosomal RNA", at positions 509 to 807 of the family's 1533-position model. The record is from RNAcentral.